Molecule: transfer RNA, 73 nt
Filed under: Phrynosoma platyrhinos (Desert horned lizard)
Lineage: Eukaryota; Metazoa; Chordata; Lepidosauria; Squamata; Phrynosomatidae
Description: tRNA-OTHER
Source: RNAcentral
GGCAGUGUGGUAUUGUGGUUUGAAUGUUGGACUAGGACACUGGGAGCCCAGGAUUCAAAUCCCUGCUUAGCCA